RNAcentral lists this small nuclear RNA (191 nucleotides) under Chinchilla lanigera (long-tailed chinchilla). RNAcentral's name for it is "U2 spliceosomal RNA (ENSCLAG00000020890.1)". It matches the Rfam family "U2 spliceosomal RNA". From Rfam's summary of the family: U2 is a small nuclear RNA (snRNA) component of the spliceosome (involved in pre-mRNA splicing). Complementary binding between U2 snRNA (in an area lying towards the 5' end but 3' to hairpin I) and the branchpoint sequence (BPS) of the intron results the bulging out of an unpaired adenosine, on the BPS, which initiates a nucleophilic attack at the intronic 5' splice site, thus starting the first of two transesterification reactions that mediate splicing. Lineage: Eukaryota; Metazoa; Chordata; Mammalia; Rodentia; Chinchillidae. The record is from Rfam by way of RNAcentral.
AUUGGUGUUUGGCCUUUUAGGUAAAAUGAAGUGUAGUAUCUGUUCUCAUCAGUUUAAUAUCUGAUACAUCCUCUAUCAGAGGACAAGCUCUUAAAUGGAGCUUUGGAGCUGCAAGAUGGAAUAGGAGCUUGUUCUAUCCAUUCCACAUAUCAACCUGGUAUUGCAAUAUCUCCAGGAGCAGUGUACCCCUA